Molecule: ribosomal RNA, 440 nt
Filed under: uncultured bacterium
Lineage: Bacteria
Description: partial 16S ribosomal RNA
Rfam family: Bacterial small subunit ribosomal RNA
Source: RNAcentral
CCUACGGGCGGCAGCAGUGGGGGAUAUUGCACAAUGGGGGAAACCCUGAUGCAGCGACGCCGCGUGAGUGAAGAAGUAUUUCGGUAUGUAAAGCUCUAUCAGCAGGGAAGAAAAUGACCGUACCUGACCAAAAAGCCCCGGCUAACUACGUGCCAGCAGCCGCGGUACUACGUAGGGGGCGAGCGUUAUCCGGAUUUACUGGGUGGAAAGGGAGCGUAGACGGUUAUGUAAGUCUGGAGUGAAAGCCCGGGGCUCAACCGCGGGACGGCUUUGGAAACUGUGUAACUGGAGUACAGGAGGGGCAGGCGGAAUUCCUGGUGUAGCGGUGAAAUGCGUAGAUAUCAGGAGGAACACCGGCGGCGAAGGCGGCUUGCUGGACUGAAACUGACGUUGAGGCUCGAAAGCGUGGGGAGCAAACAGGAUUAGAUACCCCUGUAGUC